RNAcentral lists this ribosomal RNA (253 nucleotides) under uncultured bacterium. RNAcentral describes it as "partial 16S ribosomal RNA". It matches the Rfam family "Bacterial small subunit ribosomal RNA", at positions 524 to 776 of the family's 1533-position model. The record is from RNAcentral.
UACGUAGGAUGCAAGCGUUGGCCGGAAUUAUUGGGCGUAAAGAGCGCGCAGGCGGUAUGACAAGUCAGAUGUGAAAGAGGCCGGCUUAACCGGCAAGGGUCAUUUGAAACUGUCAGACUAGAGUGCAGCAGAGGAUAGUGGAAUUUCCGGUGGAGCGGUGAAAUGCGUAGAGAUCGGAAAGAACACCAACGGCGAAAGCACUCUGCUGGGCCGACACUGACACUGAGAGACGAAAGCUAGGGGAGCGAAUGGG